AGUGAACGCUGGCGGUAGGCCUAACACAUGCAAGUCGAACGGCAGCACAGUAAGAGCUUGCUCUUACGGGUGGCGAGUGGCGGACGGGUGAGGAAUACAUCGGAAUCUACUUUUUCGUGGGGGAUAACGUAGGGAAACUUACGCUAAUACCGCAUACGACCUACGGGUGAAAGCAGGGGAUCUUCGGACCUUGCGCGAUUGAAUGAGCCGAUGUCGGAUUAGCUAGUUGGCGGGGUAAAGGCCCACCAAGGCGACGAUCCGUAGCUGGUCUGAGAGGAUGAUCAGCCACACUGGAACUGAGACACGGUCCAGACUCCUACGGGAGGCAGCAGUGGGGAAUAUUGGACAAUGGGCGCAAGCCUGAUCCAGCCAUACCGCGUGGGUGAAGAAGGCCUUCGGGUUGUAAAGCCCUUUUGUUGGGAAGGAAAAGCGGCAGGUUAAUACCCCGCUGUUCUGACGGUACCCAAAGAAUAAGCACCGGCUAACUUCGUG
Molecule: ribosomal RNA, 492 nt
Filed under: uncultured bacterium
Lineage: Bacteria
Description: partial 16S ribosomal RNA
Rfam family: Bacterial small subunit ribosomal RNA
Source: RNAcentral